This 253-nucleotide ribosomal RNA is filed under the name uncultured bacterium. RNAcentral's name for it is "partial 16S ribosomal RNA". It matches the Rfam family "Bacterial small subunit ribosomal RNA", at positions 524 to 776 of the family's 1533-position model. The record is from RNAcentral.
UACGUAGGGGGCUAGCGUUGUCCGGAAUCAUUGGGCGUAAAGCGCGUGUAGGCGGUCCGGUAAGUCCGCUGUGAAAGUCGGGGGCUCAACCCUCGGAUGCCGGUGGAUACUGUCGGGCUUGAGUACGGAAGAGGCGAGUGGAAUUCCUGGUGUAGCGGUGAAAUGCGUAGAUAUCUGCAGGAACACCCGUGGCGAAAGCGGCGCGCUGGACCACUACUGACGCUGAGGAACGAAAGCUAGGGGAGCAAACAGG